Molecule: ribosomal RNA, 497 nt
Filed under: uncultured bacterium
Lineage: Bacteria
Description: partial 16S ribosomal RNA
Rfam family: Bacterial small subunit ribosomal RNA
Source: RNAcentral
GAUGAACGCUGGCGGCGUGCCUAAUACAUGCAAGUCGAGCGAACGGACGAGAAGCUUGCUUCUCUGAUGUUAGCGGCGGACGGGUGAGUAACACGUGGAUAACCUACCUAUAAGACUGGGAUAACUUCGGGAAACCGGAGCUAAUACCGGAUAAUAUUUUGAACCGCAUGGUUCAAAAGUGAAAGACGGUCUUGCUGUCACUUAUAGAUGGAUCCGCGCUGCAUUAGCUAGUUGGUAAGGUAACGGCUUACCAAGGCAACGAUGCAUAGCCGACCUGAGAGGGUGAUCGGCCACCCUGGAACUUAGACACGGUCCAGACUCCUACGGGAGGCAGCAGUAGGGAAUCUUCCGCAAUGGGCGAAAGCCUGACGGAGCAACGCCGCGUGAGUGAUGAAGGUCUUCGGAUCGUAAAACUCUGUUAUUAGGGAAGAACAUAUGUGUAAGUAACUGUGCACAUCUUGACGGUACCUAAUCAGAAAGCCACGGCUAACUACGUG